UGGUUGAUCCUGCCAGUAGUCAUAUGCUUGUCUCAAAGAUUAAGCCAUGCAUGUCUAAGUAUAACUACUAGCAUUAGAAGACUGCGGAUGGCUCAUUAAAUCAGUUAUUGUCAAUUUGAAGUGCUUACUACUCGGAUAACCGAGGAAACGCUUGGGCUAAUACGUGCAAUACACACCCGACUUCGGAAGGGUUGUAUUCACUGGUCGUUUAAACCAACCAGGGCUUGCUCUGUUGGAUGAAACACAGUGACUUGAAAAUGCAACGGAUCGCAUAGCCUUGCGCUAGCGAUGCUUCAUUUGAAUUUCUGAUCCAUCAACCUUAGAUUGUAGGACAGUGGCCUACAAUGGUUUUGACGGGUAACGGGGAAUAAGGGUUCGAUUCCGGAGAGGGGGCAUUAGAGUUGGCCACCACUUCCAAGGAAGGCAGCAGGCGCGAAAAUUACCCAAUGUUAAUUCAACGAGGUAGUGACAAGAAAUAACGAUACAGGUCGCUACAUAAGGCUUGUAAUCGGAAUGAACAAUAGUUAAACCUCUUAAUGAGUACCAAUUGGAGGACAAGUCUGGUGCCAGCACCCGCGGUAAUUCCAGCUCCAAUAGCUUAUGCUAAAGUUGUUGCAGUUGAAAAGCUCGUAGUCGAAAUACUGGUUGAGACAUGCUGGGUCUGCCACAGGUUGGUUGCACUCGGCAAGUCUCACCAACCUUGCUGUGACUUGGUGGUAUCGCUUAGGUGCGAUUCAUCGUUGGUUGCAGCAUCAAUUACCUUGAAUAAAGUAAAGUGCUCAAGGCAGGCAGCAAAGCCAUUGAAUAUGUUAGCAUGGGAUAACAAAAUAGGACACUCGUCCUGUUUGUUGGUCAUCGGGACAUGUGUAAUGAUUAAUAGAAACUGUUUGGGGUGUCUGAAUUCAGGCGGGAGAGGUGAAAUUCUGUGAUCGUCUGAAGUCAAACUAAAGCGAAAGCAUUCACCAAGGAUACUUUCAUUGAUCAAGAACGAAAGUCAGGGGAUCGAAGAUGAUUAGAUACCGUCGUAGUCCUGACUGUAAAUGAUACCAACUGGAGAUUGGCUUAGCGACAUAAAGGCCUUCUUCAGCAUCCCCCGGGAAACCAUUAAGUUUUUGGGUUCUGGGGGGAGUAUGUUCGCAAGUCUGAAACUUAAAGGAAUUGACGGAAAGGCACACAAGGAGUGGAGCCUGCGGCUUAAUUUGACCCAACACGGGAAAACUUAUCGGGUCCGGACAUAGCGAUGAUUGACAGAUUGAUAGUUCUUUCUUGAUUCUAUGGGUAGUGGUGCAUGGCCGUACUUAGUUCGUGGAUUGAUCUGUCUGGUUUAUUCCGAUAACGAACGAGACCAAGGCUUGCUAAAUAGACGCUGGAUAGGCCU
RNAcentral lists this ribosomal RNA (1378 nucleotides) under metagenome. Its description in RNAcentral is "SSU rRNA". It matches the Rfam family "Eukaryotic small subunit ribosomal RNA", at positions 5 to 1373 of the family's 1831-position model. The record is from RNAcentral.